RNAcentral lists this transfer RNA (76 nucleotides) under Alphaproteobacteria bacterium. RNAcentral describes it as "tRNA-Phe". It matches the Rfam family "tRNA". From Rfam's summary of the family: Transfer RNA (tRNA) molecules are approximately 80 nucleotides in length. Their secondary structure includes four short double-helical elements and three loops (D, anti-codon, and T loops). The record is from RNAcentral. Lineage: Bacteria; Pseudomonadati; Pseudomonadota; Alphaproteobacteria.
GCCCAGGUAGCUCAGUCGGUAGAGCAGGUGAUUGAAAAUCACCGUGUCGGCGGUUCGAUUCCGUCCCUGGGCACCA